UCAAGCGAUUAAGCGCAAACGGUGGAUGCCUUGGCAGUUGGAGGCGAUGAAGGACGUUGUAGCCUGCGAAAAGCUUCGGGGAGUCGGCAAACAGACUUUGAUCCGGGGAUGUCCGAAUGGGGAAACCCACCCAGCAUAAGUUGGGUAUCGUGCACUGAAUACAUAGGUGUACGAAGCGAACGCGGGGAACUGAAACAUCUAAGUACCCGUAGGAAAAGAAAUCAACCGAGAUUCCCUUAGUAGCGGCGAGCGAACGGGGAUUAGCCCUUAAGCUCUUUAUGUUUUAGUGGAACAGUCUGGAAAGUCUGGCAAUACAGGGUGAUAGCCCCGUACGCGAAAAGGCAUUUAGAGUGAAAUCGAGUAGGUCGGGACACGUGUUAUCUUGACUGAAUGUGGGGGGACCAUCCUCCAAGGCUAAAUACUACCAACUGACCGAUAGUGAACCAGUACCGUGAGGGAAAGGCGAAAAGAACCCCUGUGAGGGGAGUGAAAUAGAUCCUGAAACCGUUUGCGUACAAGCAGUCAGAGCCCACUUGUUGGGUGAUGGCGUACCUUUUGUAUAAUGGGUCAGCGACUUAUUUUUAGUAGCAAGCUUAACCGUUUAGGGGAGGCGUAGGGAAACCGAGUCUUAAUAGGGCGUUAGUUGCUAGGAAUAGACCCGAAACCGGGCGAUCUAUCCAUGGCCAGGUUGAAGGUGCCGUAACAGGCACUGGAGGACCGAACCCACCUAUGUUGAAAAAUGGGGGGAUGAGCUGUGGAUCGGAGUGAAAGGCUAAUCAAGCCCGGAGAUAGCUGGUUCUCCUCGAAAUCUAUUUAGGUAGAGCGUCGUGUCUUACCCUGGGGGGUAGAGCACUGUUUCGGCUAGGGGCCCAUCCCGGGUUACCAAACCGAUGCAAACUCCGAAUACCCAGGAGUACAAUCACGGCAGACAGACAGCGGGUGCUAACGUCCGUUGUCAAGAGGGAAACAACCCAGACCGCCAGCUAAGGUCCCUAAUAUCAGUUAAGUGGGAAACGAUGUGGGAAGGCACAGACAGCUAGGAGGUUGGCUUAGAAGCAGCCAUCCUUUAAAGAAAGCGUAAUAGCUCACUAGUCGAGUCGGCCUGCGCGGAAGAUGCUCAAACUGAUAACCGAAGCUGCGGACGCAUAUUGUUAUUUAUAGCAAUGUGCGUGGUAGAGGAGCGUUCUGUACGCCUGCGAAGGUAAAUCGAGAGGUUUGCUGGAGGUAUCAGAAGUGCGAAUGCUGACAUGAGUAACGAUAAGGGGAGUGAAAAACUCCCCCGCCGGAAGAUCAAGGUUUCCUGUCCAACGCUAAUCGGGACAGGGUGAGUCGGCCCCUAAGGCGAGGGCGAAAGCCGUAGUCGAUGGAAAACAGGUUAACAUUCCUGUACCGCUUACAAUUGCGAUGGGGGGACGGAGAAGGCUAGGCCAGCGCGGCGAUGGUUGUCCGCGUUUAAGGCAGUAGGCUGGUGACUUAGGUAAAUCCGGGUUGCUAAGGCCGAGAGUCGAUGACGAGCGUUUACCGCAAGGUUCACGUGAAGUGGUUGAUGCCAUGCUUCCAAGAAAAUCCUCUAAGCUUCAGAUUGUAAGCGACCGUACUGUAAACCGACACAGGUGAUCAGGUAGAGAAUACCAAGGCGCUUGAGAGAACUCGGGUGAAGGAACUAGGCAAAAUGGUACCGUAACUUCGGGAGAAGGUACGCCGGUUUUGGUGAUGGGACUUGCUCCCUAAGCUGAGGCCGGUCGAAGUGACCAGGUGGCUGCGACUGUUUAUUAAAAACAUAGCACUCUGCAAACACGCAAGUGGACGUAUAGGGUGUGACGCCUGCCCGGUGCCGGAAGGUUAAAUGAUGAGGUUAGACUUCGGUCGAAGCUUUUGAUUGAAGCCCCGGUAAACGGCGGCCGUAACUAUAACGGUCCUAAGGUAGCGAAAUUCCUUGUCGGGUAAGUUCCGACCUGCACGAA
This 1964-nucleotide ribosomal RNA is filed under the name marine sediment metagenome. Its description in RNAcentral is "bacterial LSU rRNA". It matches the Rfam family "Bacterial large subunit ribosomal RNA", at positions 3 to 1996 of the family's 2925-position model. The record is from RNAcentral.